RNAcentral lists this ribosomal RNA (450 nucleotides) under uncultured bacterium. Its description in RNAcentral is "partial 16S ribosomal RNA". It matches the Rfam family "Bacterial small subunit ribosomal RNA", at positions 338 to 795 of the family's 1533-position model. The record is from RNAcentral.
CCUACGGGUGGCUGCAGUAAGGAAUAUUGGUCAAUGGACGAAAGUCUGAACCAGCCAUCCCGCGUGCAGGAUGAAAGCCCUAUGGGUUGUAAACUGCUUUUAGCAGAGAAGAAACGCUUUCAUUAAUGAGCGUCUGACGGUAUCUGCAGAAUAAGCACCGGCUAACUCCGUGCCAGCAGCCGCGGUAAUACGGAGGGUGCGGGCGUUAUCUGGAUUUACGGGUUUUAAGGGGGAGUUAGACGGCGGAGGUGAAAUCUUGUCGCUGAACGAUAAAAUUGCCAAUGAUACUGGUACUCUUGAAUUGGGUUGAGGUUAGCGGAAUGUGACAUGUAGCGGUGAAAUGCAUAGAUAUGUCAUGGAACACCAAUUGCGAAGGCAGCUAACUGGGCCUUGAUUGACGCUGAGGCACGAAAGCGUGGGUAGCGAACAGGAUUAGAUACCCUAGUAGUC